Perca fluviatilis (European perch) is the source of this 2052-nucleotide long non-coding RNA. RefSeq lists it as uncharacterized. NCBI's taxonomy places the organism in Eukaryota, Metazoa, Chordata, Actinopteri, Perciformes, Percidae. The transcript has 3 exons. The record is from RefSeq and is a predicted model, not a curated record.
UCCAGAACUCACAUUAGGUAGUGUUUUUUCUUGUAUACAGCCAGAGUGCAGACAGAGAUUCCGGCUACAAGCAGCAGCAGUCCGAUGGCGAUGCCAACAUACACAGCGUCUACAAGAAGAAGAUCCGGUCCCUAGCGUCCAAUCAAAAUUAUCGGCCAAGGAGCUCCUCCAGCCACAGCGCCCGUUCUCAAAGGAGCAGGAAGUCCCACAAUCCUUUUCAUCAGUGCCAUCACCACAGUCAUCAGUGAAGUCACAGCUCUGCCCAGGAGUGAAACAUCUGCCAUUUUCACAAGGGAGCAAACCUGAAGGACAGGAGCCUGGAAAAAAAGAUAAAUAUAAUGCACAGGACCAGAAGCAAUGAGCCCCAACAAAGGCACAUAGGAAGCCAGGAAGCCAUGGCUCCCAACUGUGAAGCUAGGCUGCCUCACCACCUGAUGUGGAGCAUACUGGUGGAUCAAUUUAAGAGAAAAUUGGUUAAAGCCAAUAAUGUGCAGUUCUUCACCUGUUACUACAGCAUCUGACUGUACUUGCAGAAUUGCAGUACAUAUCUUGUUAUAACUUUGGAGCUCUGCAUUGCCGUGUGUGAUGUGAACUUCAGACCAGAGAUCCAGUGGACCCACUGUCCUGAUAUACAGUAUGUCGGUAUGGUAUACUGCCCCCUGGUGCAAAGAUCCAGAUCAACUUUUUAAUGAAUUUAUACCUCUGGAAUCAGAAGUCUGACGGAUAAAGUGAAGCAAGUUGUCUAAUAAUGGCAACGAAAGGUGUCAUGAUGUGAUCCAUUGUUUGUUGUCGUUCUUGAACUCUUAUAUUUCCAUUUCAGUGUCAAAAAGGAAGAUUAAAUUCAAUUGAUGAUUUGCACCCAUAAAAGGUGUUAAUUCAAUUAUAUGAUUUAGCACUGAGGUCAUAGUUGGUGGUGGUGUGGUGCUGGACUGCAUUAUAUUCAGAGGUGUUUGUAAUAUUCUGCACAUCUCAUGUGUGUAAAUAGAGAAGGGAAACUAAAGUAGAAACACCUCUGAAUGUAAUGUAGUCCACAGUACAACACCAUCUUUAACUAUGACCUCAAUAAUAAAGAUAUGAUUCAUCAUCAAAGACUGAACAUUAUGAGCUUUGUAAAGGUAGAUGGCAGGGCUGUUGAAUUGGACUGCAUUAGAUUAAACAGGUGUACCUAAUAAAGUGUCCACUGAGUGUAGGUGACUGUACGUACAGUAAAUGUUCCUUACAGCUUUCUUCAGACAUGACAGGACAUUUACAGAACAUGCAAAAUGAUAUGGAAGAGGAAGAGAGUUUUUUACCGAAGCGUUCAGUAAUGACCAUCAUGAGCACGAUGGCUAUCUUCCCAUUUCUCCUCUAGUGAACCCAAUACAUUUUCUCAUCCAUUUCAUAGUUCAAUAAGUAAAUAUUUCUGCUGCCUAGUUUAUUAAGUCCGACGGUGCUAAAGCAAAGAAUGGCAUAAUGUUAAAUUUGGACUUAUGUUUCUGACUUGCUCAAAUGCUGUAUGUAAAAUUUUGCAGGAUAUUCUUUAAUUUUUCCAUGCAGAUGGCAUACACACAUACAUAGUAGUCGCUGAAUGUCCUAAACCUAUGUUGACAGCACAUAAUGUUAAAAUAGUUGGCAGAUAUUCUACAAUGUCUUGUUAAAGCCAAGAUAAAAUUCCCAGCCAUGAAAGAACACACGAUGGGGGUGCAUGCAGUGUGUCUCACUACUCCAUCACAUAAUGUGAUAUAAAAUGAAGCGGUGGAGGAAAAUGCCCCUGAGGCGCUUCAGUAUAUAAUUACAGUUCCUGCUGUCUUUGGUCUCAUCAGUAUUACUGUUCGUUCAGUGCAGCCUGCAGCAGCGAAGGGGGCAGUGAGAGCAGACACUCUUCUCCUUCCUGGCUCUCUUCAUGGUGGGAUGAACUGUCAGGGCAGCAGUGUUACUCCCUGUCUUAACCUUCAAGAAAUCCCUCUACGGUCACACAAACUCACAUCCCUUUCUAUUUCCAUCCCACUUUAUUUGCUCUAUUUUUACUUGUAUUGAAAAUGACCCUGUCAUGUUUUGAAAAUAAAAAACACU